AGAGUUUGAUCCUGGCUCAGGAUGAACGUUGGCGGUGUGCCUAAUACAUGCAAGUCGAACGGUGACGAUUUUGUAGCAAUACGAAUGAAAUCAUAGUGGCGAACGGGUGAGUAACGCGUUGGUGAUCUGCCUCGAAGUGUGGAAUAACUUCCCGAAAGGGUAGCUAAUACCGCAUAGUCUCUCAAGGUUUAGAAAAUUGAGAGUAAAGGAUUUAUUCGCUUCGAGAGGAGCCUGCGUCCCAUCAGCUAGUUGGUAGGGUAAUAGCCUACCAAGGCAAUGACGGGUAGGGGACCUGAGAGGGUGGCCCCCCACAAUGGAACUGAAACACGGUCCAUACACCUACGGGUGGCAGUAGUAGGGAAUAUUAGAAAUGGGCGAAAGCCUGAUCUAGCAACACCGCGUGUGCGAUGAAGGCCUUCGGGUUGUAAAGCACUUUUUGGAGGGAAUAGGAAGGAAGGUACCUCCAGAAUAAGUCUCGGCUAACUACGUGCCAGCAGCCGCGGUAACACGUAGGAGGCAAACGUUAUCCGGAUUCACUGGGCGUAAAGCGCGUGUAGGUGGUUCUGUAAGUAGGGCGUGAAAGCUCCCGGCUCAACUGGGAGAGGCCGUACUAAACUGCAGAGCUAGAGGAUGGUAGAGGGAGGUGGAAUUCCAGGUGUAGUGGUGAAAUGCGCAGAUAUCUGGAGGAACACCAGUGGCGAAGGCGGCCUCCUGGACCAUUCCUGACACUCAGACGCGAAAGCUAGGGUAGCAAACAAAAGUAGAGACUCCGGUAGUCCUAGCCCUAAACGAUGCAGGCUAGGGGUCGGCGGGUUAAUUCACCGUCGGGGUGCAAGCUAACGCGAUAAGUCUCCCGCCCGAGGACUACGGCCGCAAGGCUAAAACUCAAAGGAAUUGACGGGUCCCCGCACAAGCAGCGGAGCGUGUGGUUUAAUUCGAUGCUCCGCGAAGAACCUUACCUGGGUUUGACAUAACAGUGGUAGAGAAGUGAAAACGGAUCGACCCUUCGGGGAGCUGUUACAGGUGUUGCAUGCCUGUCGUCAGCUCGUGUCGUGAGAUGUUCGGUUAAGUCCGCUAACGAGCGCAACCCGCGCUGUGUGUUACAAGUGUCACACAGUACCGCCGGUAUUAAGUCGGAGGAAGGUGCGGAUGACGUCAAGUCAGCAUGACCUUUAUAUCCAGGGCUACACACACGCUACAAUGGUCAGAACAAUAGGUUGCCAAGCCGCAAGGCGGAGCCAAUCCUCCAAAUCUGGCCUCAGUUCAGAUUGCAGGCUGCAACUCGCCUGCAUGAAGUCGGAGUUGCUAGUAACCGCAGGUCAGCAUACUGCGGUGAAUAAAAUGCCGGGGAUUGUACUCACCGCCCGUCA
RNAcentral lists this ribosomal RNA (1370 nucleotides) under uncultured bacterium. Its description in RNAcentral is "16S ribosomal RNA". It matches the Rfam family "Bacterial small subunit ribosomal RNA". The record is from RNAcentral.